This 499-nucleotide ribosomal RNA is filed under the name Staphylococcus sp. HFH0067. Its description in RNAcentral is "bacterial SSU rRNA". It matches the Rfam family "Bacterial small subunit ribosomal RNA", at positions 92 to 578 of the family's 1533-position model. The record is from RNAcentral. Lineage: Bacteria; Bacillati; Bacillota; Bacilli; Caryophanales; Staphylococcaceae.
UUAGCGGCGGACGGGUGAGUAACACGUGGGUAACCUACCUAUAAGACUGGGAUAACUUCGGGAAACCGGAGCUAAUACCGGAUAAUAUUUCGAACCGCAUGGUUCGAUAGUGAAAGAUGGCUCUGCUAUCACUUAUAGAUGGACCUGCGCCGUAUUAGCUAGUUGGUAAGGUAACGGCUUACCAAGGCAACGAUACGUAGCCGACCUGAGAGGGUGAUCGGCCACACUGGAACUGAGACACGGUCCAGACUCCUACGGGAGGCAGCAGUAGGGAAUCUUCCGCAAUGGGCGAAAGCCUGACGGAGCAACGCCGCGUGAGUGAUGAAGGUCUUCGGAUCGUAAAACUCUGUUAUUAGGGAAGAACAAACGUGUAAGUAACUGUGCACGUCUUGACGGUACCUAAUCAGAAAGCCACGGCUAACUACGUGCCAGCAGCCGCGGUAAUACGUAGGUGGCAAGCGUUAUCCGGAAUUAUUGGGCGUAAAGCGCGCGUAGGCGG